Molecule: long non-coding RNA, 2077 nt
Organism: Pan troglodytes (chimpanzee)
Lineage: Eukaryota; Metazoa; Chordata; Mammalia; Primates; Hominidae
Exons: 3
Source: RefSeq, a predicted model, not a curated record
GGGGGGCUGACCCCCCCACCUCCCUCCCAGACGAGGAGGGAGGACGCUCCUCACUUCUCAGACGGGGUGGCUGCCGGGCGGAGGGGCUCCUCACUUCUCAGACAGGGCGGUUGCCAGGCAGAGGGUCUCCUCACUUCUCAGACAGGGCGGCCGGGCAGAGACACUCCUCACAUCCCGGACGGGGCGGCAGGGCAGAGGUGCUCCCCACAUCUCAGACGAUGGGCGGCCGGGCAGAGACGCUCCUCACUUCCCAGAUGUGAUGGCGGCCGGGAAGAGGCGCUCCUCACUUCCUAGAUGGGAUGGCGGCCGGGCAGAGACGCUCCUCACUUUCCAGACUGGGCGGCCAGGCAGAGGGGCUCCUCACAUCCCAGACGAUGGGCAGUCAGGCGGAGACGCUCCUCACUUCCCAGACGGGGUGGCUGCCAGGCAGAGGCUGCAAUCUCGGCACUUAGGGAGGCCAAGGCAGGCGGCUGGGAGGUGGUUGUAGCGAGCCGAGAUCACGCCACUGCACUCCAGCCUGGGCGCCAUUGAGCACUGAGUUAACGAGACUCCGUCUGCAAUCCCGGCACCUCGGGAGGCCGAGGCUGGCGGAUCACUCGCGGUUAGGAGCUGGAGACCAGCCCAGCCGACACAUCGAAACCCCGUCCCCACCAAAAAAAUACGAAAACCAGUCAGGCGUGGCGGCGCACGCCUGCAAUCGCAGGCACUCGGCAGGCUGAGCCUGACCAACCACCAUCUCUCACUUGGACUAUUGCAGCUGUCUUCUACCCAGACUCCCUGCUCCACCUUUGCUUCCUCUGACACAGUUUCCAUAGAAAAACCAAAGUGAUCUUUUGAAGAGGAUGCAGUACUUUGGUGUAUUCAACAUCUUUUCCAACCUCCUCCCAGUGUGCCUUUCUCUCCUGCAGAAGCUGGAAAGUGACUCCCCCUCAUCAUCCAGAUCACAGCCUAAUGUCACUUCCCCAGAGAAGCCUCAUUCUACGAUUGCCAAAACCAAGCCCCACAGACUGGGUGGCACCAACAACAGGUAUGAGUUUUCUCCCAGUUCCAGAGGCUGAAAGUCCAAGGUCAAGGUGUCAGCAGUGGUGGUUCCUUCUGAGGCUCUGAGGAUCUAUUCCCAGCUACUCUCCUGGGCUUUUAGAAGGCCAACUUCACGUCCACACGGCUUUCUUUCUGUGUGUGCAUCUGUGUGUGUCCAAAUUUCCCCCUUUUAUAAGGACACCAGUCUUAUUGGAUUAGGGCCUCAUUUAACUGAGUCAAUCUGCCAUGACCCUACUUACAAUUCCAAUUCCACUGUCAGGUGCUGGGGGUUAGGACUUCACCCUAUGAGUUUGGGAGGAUGCACACAGUUUAUCCUCUAACAGCCAGGUUCUCAAGGUCUAACUUCUCCUCAAACUCUGCUUCUUCGUCAAAGCUGUCAAUUCGGUGUGUGACGGUGCAGCUGCUGGUUGGUUAACAUUUGUCCUCAGCUAGGAGACUGUGUUGGAUGAUCCCCCAGUGCUUAGCACAGGGCCUCGGGCAGAGCGAGUGCUGAAGAGGUAUUCAUUGGAUUUGUGGAUGAAUGAGUUGAGGAAUAAAUGAUUAUUUCUAAUAGCUGAUGAAAGACCUAAAAGGCCAAUGAUAAGCAAGUGGCCAAAUCACCCAAGACACAGUUGUUUAUUACACAGCUGUUAAAAUGUCUCUGAAGACUUUGUGACAAUGUGGGAAAAUGCUUAUGAUCUGACAUUGAAUGACAUGGUAGAAUACAACCGUUUAUGGAAUAUUACACGAAAAAAGAACAGAAAAAUGAGAGUCCAGUGUUGAACUCACAAAAACAAAAAAUCAUGUAUAAAUUGUGAUCAGAUUUUCCACAUUAAAUGUAUUAGUUCUUCUCAUUCAUUAAAUAAAUAACUUCAUGUCAAAGCUAAAGAAAAAUUAGCAUCCUUAAACAUUGGGAUCCUAUGAACUAUCCUUUAUUCAUUUUGGAGUAAAAGAUGGGAUGGCAGGAAAUACACAGGGCCUCAUUUCUGCUUCUUUGGGCAAAUCUUAUUUUUAGUAACUCACUUUGCCAUUAAUAAAACCACGUCUGAUCAUAUAC